Non-coding RNA from Candidatus Nanosalinarum sp. J07AB56, 73 nucleotides. The record is from Rfam. NCBI's taxonomy places the organism in Archaea, Methanobacteriati, Methanobacteriota, Candidatus Nanohaloarchaea.
GCGGCGGUUGGUCCAGUGGCUAAGACACGUGCUUGCCAUGCGCGUAACCCGGGUUCAAAUCCCGGACGCCGCA